CCACACCUAAAAAACUUUUCACGUGAACCGUAUCAACCCUUUUAGUUGGGGGUCUUGCUUUUUGCGAGCCCUAUCAUGGCGAAUGUUUGGACUUCGGUCUGGGCUAGUAGCUUUUUGUUUUAAACCCAUUCUACAAUACUGAUUAUACUGUGGGGACGAAAGUCUCUGCUUUUAACUAGAUAGCAACUUUCAGCAGUGGAUGUCUAGGCUCGCACAUCGAUGAAGAACGCUGCGAACUGCGAUACGUAAUGCGAAUUGCAGGAUUCAGUGAGUCAUCGAAAUUUUGAACGCAUAUUGCACUUCCGGGUUAGUCCUGGGAGUAUGCCUGUAUCAGUGUCCGUACAUCAAACUUGGCUUUCUUCCUUCCGUGUAGUCGGUGGAGGAUGUGCCAGAUGUGAAGUGUCUUGCGGGUGUCCUUCGGGUCGUCUGCGAGUCCUUUGAAAUGUACUGAACUGUACUUCUCUUUGCUCGAAAAGCGUGGUGUUGCUGGUUGUGGAGGCUGCCUGCGUGGCCAGUCGGCGACCGGUUUGUCUGCUGCGGCGUUUAAUGGAGGAGUGUUCGAUUCGCGGUAUGGUUGGCUUCGGCUGAACAGGCGCUUAUUGUAUGCUUUUCCUGCUGUGGCGUGAUGGGCUGGUGAACCGUAGCUGUGUGUGGCUUGGCUUUUGAAUCGGCUUUGCUGUUGCGAAGUAGAGUGACGGCUUCGGCUGUCGAGGGUCGAUCCAUUUGGGAACUUUGUGUGCACCUCGGUGCGCAUCUCAA
This 759-nucleotide ribosomal RNA is filed under the name Phytophthora citricola. Its description in RNAcentral is "eukaryotic LSU rRNA". The stretch from base 185 to 339 matches the Rfam family "5.8S ribosomal RNA". The record is from RNAcentral. Lineage: Eukaryota; Oomycota; Peronosporomycetes; Peronosporales; Peronosporaceae.